CUCGGGAGGCAGCAGUGGGGAAUUUUCCGCAAUGGGCGAAAGCCUGACGGAGCAACGCCGCGGUGAGGGAUGAAGGCCUCUGGGCUGUAAACCUCUUUUAUCAAGGAAGAAGAUCUGACGGUACCUGAUGAAUAAGCCACGGCUAAUUCCGUGCCAGCAGCCGCGGUAAUACGGGAGUGGCAGGCGUUAUCCGGAAUUAUUGGGCGUAAAGCGUCCGCAGGCGGCCCUUCAAGUCUGCUGUUAAAAAGUGGAGCUUAACUCCAUCAUGGCAGUGGAAACUGUUGGGCUUGAGUGUGGUAGGGGCAGAGGGAAUUCCCGGUGUAGCGGUGAAAUGCGUAGAUAUCGGGAAGAACACCAGUGGCGAAGGCGCUCUGCUGGGCCAUCACUGACGCUCAUGGACGAAAGCCAGGGGAGCGAAAGGGAUUAGAUACCCCUGUAGUCCUGGCCGUAAACGAUGAACACUAGGUGUCGGGGGAAUCGACCCCCUCGGUGUCGUANCCAACGCGUUAAGUGUUCCGCCUGGGGAGUACGCACGCAAG
RNAcentral lists this ribosomal RNA (539 nucleotides) under uncultured bacterium. RNAcentral's name for it is "bacterial SSU rRNA". It matches the Rfam family "Bacterial small subunit ribosomal RNA", at positions 340 to 892 of the family's 1533-position model. The record is from RNAcentral.